GUACUCGUACCAACAUUAAUGCAUCAGAUUCCAUCAUAACUUUAAAAUUAAGCAUGUUCGAGCAAGAGUAGUACUAGGAUAGCUGACCCUUGGGAAGUCCUCGUGUUACACUU
Molecule: ribosomal RNA, 113 nt
Filed under: Zingiber officinale
Lineage: Eukaryota; Viridiplantae; Streptophyta; Magnoliopsida; Zingiberales; Zingiberaceae
Source: RNAcentral